RNAcentral lists this ribosomal RNA (468 nucleotides) under uncultured bacterium. RNAcentral describes it as "partial 16S ribosomal RNA". It matches the Rfam family "Bacterial small subunit ribosomal RNA", at positions 28 to 507 of the family's 1533-position model. The record is from RNAcentral.
GACGAACGCUGGCGGCGUGCUUAACACAUGCAAGUCGAACGGAAAGGCCCUGCUUUUGUGGGGUGCUCGAGUGGCGAACGGGUGAGUAACACGUGAGUAACCUCCCCUUGACUUUGGGAUAACUUCAGGAAACUGGGGCUAAUACCGGAUAGGAGCUCCUGCUGCAUGGGGGGGGUUGGAAAGUUUCGGCGGUUGGGGCUGGACUCGCAGCUUAUCAGCUUGUUGGUGGGGUAGUGGCUGACCAAGGCUGUGACGGGUAGCCGGCCUGGGAGGGUGAACGGGGACAUGGGGACUGCGAGAGGGAGCAGAAGGCUACGGGAGGCAGUGGUGGGAAGUAUUACACAGCGGCGGGAAGCGAGUGGCGACAGUGCCGCGAGCGGGAUAACGUCUUACGGGUGAAAAACCGCUUUGGAAGUAGCCGAAGCCGGAGUGACGGUACCGGGUAAAGAAGCACCGGCUAACUACGUG